This 1654-nucleotide long non-coding RNA is filed under the name Anas zonorhyncha (Eastern spot-billed duck). RNAcentral's name for it is "lncRNA (ENSAZOG00000005889.1)". Lineage: Eukaryota; Metazoa; Chordata; Aves; Anseriformes; Anatidae. The record is from RNAcentral.
GCUUAUUAACGUCCAAUUGUUGAUUGAAGGUAUUGUCUGCAAUUAAUGCCCGUCAAUGAUGUUUAAAUGUGAUGAUGAUAUUUCAUCAGAAAAGGUAAUAUUGUUGAUACACUGCAGCCCUGAGAAAUCACCAGAGUGUUAAAUGCCACACGGAGGUCAGCAGUCACAUACAGAUGCUGCUGGGUGCUAUGCCAGACUCUCGCCCAUCAUCCCUGUUUGCUCACUAAGACUUUGCCAGCUCUAUGGAUGUCCAAGGUUGCCCUUAGAUCACUGAAGGAGCUGUUGUACCGUGUGCUGCGCAUCAUCUAGGAGCAGCAGCAGAGCUGUGGUGGUGCUCAGGGGUGGUGGGCCCUCCAGGAUCUGCUGGCCAUCAAGGAGCAUGUGGGGAAUACCAGGCAACCCUCCCGAGAUGCCAGCACCGUUGGUGCAAGCCUGGCUGUGUUACUGGUGCAGUCACCUGGGUUUAAGAGCAGCGUACUGCUGCUGCAUCUGAAGGAGAUCAGUAAGAGACACCAUCACGGACCUGCACACAGUUCCUGCAGCUGCUGUGAUGCUUCUCAGGAGUGGAGAUCCCCUGCAGUACCGGGGUCUAUCUGCACAGCCACCAAGGCUGUCUGUGAUUUGGGGAAACUAAGCAAUGCUGAAAAGGCUGAACCUGUCAUGCUGAAAGGGAUGAAAAGGCCCCGGCAGACCAGGAACCCUGCCAUACAUGAUGAGACAAUACUUGUUCAAUUAAGCAUCUUAUGCCUGUGUGUAUCUCUUAAUAUGCAAAAUCCCUGGCUCACCGUUAGCCUCUGCACACACUACCUGUCUUAAAAACCCUCAGACUGAGGGGUGGCCCUUCUGCUGGGGUCCACUUCUUCCUGGGCACUGGGGGUAACUUCAGCAAUUCUUUGAGUUAUUUUCUUCGCAGAAAACACAUGGAACAGAUGGGCAUAGGCCAGCAUCAAGGCUGGUGCCGCAGUCACAGAAAAGGAUGUGCCCUGCCCUUGUGAGAUAAACCUUCCCCCACCUCACAUAAAAUAAACAGUUGAGCUUCCAUUGCCCAAAGCUAGCUAUUAACAAGCCUGUUGUUUUGCAGUAGUACGUACAUGGAUAGGUAGGUAGAAAUAGCACAAUACCAAAGAAACUAUCCUCCAUAAAUUAUAGUGGCUUCUUCUGAAUUCUUGUUAAUGCUUACUUUAAACCUUGAUGUCUAACUCUUCUUGAACAUUCUUGUCCAGAGUAAUUAAUUUAUGCUUUGUUCUGAAAGCGUAUCAGUAAACGGGCAUCAAUGCUGAUAGCCAUUUAUUGCUCCAGCAGUGAGGUUAAACAGCUUGUGCUUUUAACUGCAUGGUACAAAAGAUAUAAAACUAUUUGCUUGAGAUAUUAAUCCAGGAUGACCUGAUGUAAAGUGACAGUAAAAGUGGCUUUCCCAAAGAUGUGAAAUAUAUGCUCUGCUCACUACCUCCUGCUGACUCUCUGCUCCAAGUGAAUAAACAUUCAGCUGAAUUCUCCCACCCAGGUGUGAUCCAGCAAUGAACUGGCAGCGCAUCCUUUUGUCUGCUAAUGCCAAUUCUAACUCACAGGAGCAGCCUACCACCGGCUCUGCAGCCAAAAUGCUUUCUCAAUUUUCUCAAGAAUCAACACAGAAAAUACCACAAGAACAUAAAAU